GUAAAAAUCGGUGCGUGCGGCUUUACUUGUGGGAGUUUGCAGUGGGAGUCGGCGGCGCACACACUUGCUCUCGAAGAUGGAGAAAAAGUUGGCGGGGAAGCGCACAAAUCUGCUUGUCUGCCUAGCGGCGUUGAUUUGAAGUGAAGUGAGCGCUAGCAGCUGAGACAGCUGCCGUGAAGCGGGUGCAGGUGGUUGGUGUAGGGCGCGUGGGAAGAGUGGUGUGCCGACGGACAUUUGUUAUUAUCGGAGAUGAUGAGAGUUGAAUAGAGCUAGAAUUCGUCGCCGUUUAUUUAAACCGAGCUUACACCCUGACGGCGUCGAAUCAACGCUGAUGGAAUUUAUCUUAUACGAGUAUCUUACGAAAAUUAUGAAAGGAGAUACAGUUUUUUUGUCAAAAUACUUGAUGGCAAUACAAUUUUCAACUCUCUGAGGCCCACAGUGCAUUGAUUGGAACGCAGUGGAAGAAGUCGGAGAAGAAGCAGAGCAGCAAUGGUGGUUGGCUGACUUGCAGACUGGCUGACUGACUGGUUGUUGUUGUUGCCCUCUUGUGCCAGUUGUCGUUUAUUAGACUCAUAGAUGACAACAGAUGUCUUCGACUUUCCAACAAUCGGUUGCGUAUCUGUUUUUGGAAAGCGAAAACGCCCACAAGUGAUAUCGCAACUCGCAAUAUGGCAAUUGAUGUUAUGAAAAAAAAUGCUAGUUUUUAUGCUAGUUGCUGCCAUUGCGGUAUUGUGUCACCGACCGUAAAUGCGUGGUAUUGUGAGGUUUGCGUGGAGCAGCCCAGUGGAGGAAAAAAGAAUCAUUUUGCCAC
Molecule: long non-coding RNA, 811 nt
Organism: Rhagoletis pomonella (apple maggot)
Lineage: Eukaryota; Metazoa; Arthropoda; Insecta; Diptera; Tephritidae
Exons: 2
Source: RefSeq, a predicted model, not a curated record